GCUUAGGAAUCUGCCAUUUAGUGGGGGACAACAUUCCGAAAGGAAUGCUAAUACCGCAUACGUCCUACGGGAGAAAGCAGGGGAUCUUCGGACCUUGCGCUAAAUGAUGAGCCUAAGUCGGAUUAGCUAGUUGGUGGGGUAAAGGCCUACCAAGGCGACGAUCUGUAGCGGGUCUGAGAGGAUGAUCCGCCACACUGGGACUGAGACACGGCCCAGACUCCUACGGGAGGCAGCAGUGGGGAAUAUUGGACAAUGGGCGCAAGCCUGAUCCAGCCAUGCCGCGUGUGUGAAGAAGGCCUUUUGGUUGUAAAGCACUUUAAGCGAGGAGGAGGCUCUCUUAGUUAAUACCUAAGAUGAGUGGACGUUACUCGCAGAAUAAGCACCGGCUAACUCUGUGCCAGCAGCCGCGGUAAUACAGAGGGUGCGAGCGUUAAUCGGAUUUACUGGGCGUAAAGCGUGCGUAGGCGGCUUUUUAAGUCGGAUGUGAAAUCCCCGAGCUUAACUUGGGAAUUGCAUUCGAUACUGGGAAGCUAGAGUAUGGGAGAGGAUGGUAGAAUUCCAGGUGUAGCGGUGAAAUGCGUAGAGAUCUGGAGGAAUACCGAUGGCGAAGGCAGCCAUCUGGCCUAAUACUGACGCUGAGGUACGAAAGCAUGGGGAGCAAACAGGAUUAG
Molecule: ribosomal RNA, 671 nt
Filed under: Acinetobacter sp. JA63-2
Lineage: Bacteria; Pseudomonadati; Pseudomonadota; Gammaproteobacteria; Moraxellales; Moraxellaceae
Description: bacterial SSU rRNA
Rfam family: Bacterial small subunit ribosomal RNA
Source: RNAcentral